CGCACAUUGCGCCCCUUGGUAUUCCGAGGGGCAUGCCUGUCCGAGCGUCAUUAAGCCCAUCAAGCUCUGCUCGGUAUUAGAUCGUGCCGGUAACGGCAGGUCUUAAACUCAGUGGCGACGCCGCCCGGCUUCGAGCGUAGUAAUUGUCUCUCGCUAUGAGGUCGUGUGAAGGUCGAGCCAACAACUCUAUCUUAUACUAGGUGGACCUCGGAUCAGGUAGGAAUACCCGCUGAACUUAA
RNAcentral lists this unclassified non-coding RNA (239 nucleotides) under Helotiales sp. Its description in RNAcentral is "partial contains 5.8S ribosomal RNA, internal transcribed spacer 2, and large subunit ribosomal RNA". Lineage: Eukaryota; Fungi; Ascomycota; Leotiomycetes; Helotiales. The record is from RNAcentral.